GAUGAACGCUGGCGGCGUGCCUAAUACAUGCAAGUCGAGCGAACAGACGAGGAGCUUGCUCCUCUGACGUUAGCGGCGGACGGGUGAGUAACACGUGGAUAACCUACCUAUAAGACUGGGAUAACUUCGGGAAACCGGAGCUAAUACCGGAUAAUAUAUUGAACCGCAUGGUUCAAUAGUGAAAGACGGUUUUGCUGUCACUUAUAGAUGGAUCCGCGCCGCAUUAGCUAGUUGGUAAGGUAACGGCUUACCAAGGCGACGAUGCGUAGCCGACCUGAGAGGGUGAUCGGCCACACUGGAACUGAGACACGGUCCAGACUCCUACGGGAGGCAGCAGUAGGGAAUCUGCCGCAAUGGGCGAAAGCCUGACGGAGCAACGCCGCGUGAGUGAUGAAGGUCUUCGGAUCGUAAAACUCUGUUAUUAGGUAAGAACAAAUGUGUAAGUAACUAUGCACGUCUUGACGGUACCUAAUCAGAAAGCCACGGCUAACUACGUG
RNAcentral lists this ribosomal RNA (497 nucleotides) under uncultured bacterium. RNAcentral's name for it is "partial 16S ribosomal RNA". It matches the Rfam family "Bacterial small subunit ribosomal RNA", at positions 28 to 507 of the family's 1533-position model. The record is from RNAcentral.